RNAcentral lists this ribosomal RNA (495 nucleotides) under uncultured bacterium. Its description in RNAcentral is "partial 16S ribosomal RNA". It matches the Rfam family "Bacterial small subunit ribosomal RNA", at positions 28 to 507 of the family's 1533-position model. The record is from RNAcentral.
GACGAACGCUGGCGGCGUGCCUAAUACAUGCAAGUAGAACGCUGAAGGAGGAGCUUGCUUCUCUGGAUGAGUUGCGAACGGGUGAGUAACGCGUAGGUAACCUGCCUGGUAGCGGGGGAUAACUAUUGAAAACGAUAGCUAAUACCGCAUAAGAGUAGAUGUCGCAUGACAUUUGCUUAAAAGGUGCAAUUGCAUCACUACCAGAUGGACCUGCGUUGUAUUAGCUAGUUGGUGAGGUAACGGCUCACCAAGGCAACGAUACAUAGCCGACCUGAGAGGGUGAUCGGCCACACUGGGACUGAGACACGGCCCAGACUCCUACGGGAGGCAGCAGUAGGGAAUCUUCGGCAAUGGACGGAAGUCUGACCGAGCAACGCCGCGUGAGUGAAGAAGGUUUUCGGAUCGUAAAGCUCUGUUGUAAGAGAAGAACGAGUGUGAGAGUGGAAAGUUCACACUGUGACGGUAUCUUACCAGAAAGGGACGGCUAACUACGUG